Phalacrocorax carbo (great cormorant) is the source of this 515-nucleotide non-coding RNA. The record is from RefSeq and is a predicted model, not a curated record. Lineage: Eukaryota; Metazoa; Chordata; Aves; Suliformes; Phalacrocoracidae.
AGAAGGUAAACUGGUACAGUCCAAGGAUAUGCUUUGUAGCCCUGUCUUCUUUAAUUACUGCAGUGACAGUUCAGUGUUUCUGUUUGCCCACGUGCCUCCUAGGUCUUCAAGUCUGCUAUCAGAAUCUGUGGGAGAAAAGCAUUUCUAACAAUAAAGGCCUAAGGUCCAUUUCUCAGGCCCCAGUGAGAGCUGCUAAAAAUGGAUAUGAGAAGGAGAGAAAUUCAGCUGUUUGAAAUCCUAUGUAGCUGAAAGGAAUCUGUCUCUCCAGGGGACAUUACAGAGGGACAGCAGGAAAAAAUGAGAGAUGGUCCACGGAAACCUGGAGGGCUGGAUGGAUCAUUGCUACUCUGUUUUUUCAAGGGCCAGAUUUCAGGAAGGGGUUAAUGCCUGUCAACAGCCAGUUCCAGUGGAAAGCAUCACACAGCUAAGCAGUACCUUGUUCUGUAGGUCAGUACAGCUUCCUUUGUGGUGGUUAGUAUCUGUGUAGCAUUUUUCAUCCUCAAAAGAUUGAAAAC